RNAcentral lists this non-coding RNA (21 nucleotides) under Caenorhabditis elegans. The record is from RNAcentral. Lineage: Eukaryota; Metazoa; Nematoda; Chromadorea; Rhabditida; Rhabditidae.
UGCUUCGAAAAAGCCGAUGCU